GACAGAGGGUGCAAACGUUUGUUCGGAAUUACUGGGCGUAAAGCGCGUGUAGGCUGCUCUGCAAGUCGGAUGUGAAAGCCCUGGGCUCAACCUAGGAAGUGCACUCGAAACUGCGGAGCUCGAGUCUCGGAGAGGAUCGCGGAAUUCUCGGUGUAGAGGUGAAAUUCGUAGAUAUCGAGAGGAACACCGGUGGCGAAGGCGGCGUCUGGACGAUGACUGACGUGAGACGCGAAAGCGUGGGGGAGCAAAACAGG
Molecule: ribosomal RNA, 254 nt
Filed under: uncultured bacterium
Lineage: Bacteria
Description: partial 16S ribosomal RNA
Rfam family: Bacterial small subunit ribosomal RNA
Source: RNAcentral